RNAcentral lists this transfer RNA (77 nucleotides) under Candidatus Cloacimonadota bacterium. RNAcentral's name for it is "tRNA-Ile". It matches the Rfam family "tRNA". Rfam says of the family: Transfer RNA (tRNA) molecules are approximately 80 nucleotides in length. Their secondary structure includes four short double-helical elements and three loops (D, anti-codon, and T loops). Further hydrogen bonds mediate the characteristic L-shaped molecular structure. tRNAs have two regions of fundamental functional importance: the anti-codon, which is responsible for specific mRNA codon recognition, and the 3' end, to which the tRNAs corresponding amino acid is attached (by aminoacyl-tRNA synthetases). tRNAs cope with the degeneracy of the genetic code in two manners: having more than one tRNA (with a specific anti-codon) for a particular amino acid; and 'wobble' base-pairing, i.e. permitting non-standard base-pairing at the 3rd anti-codon position. The record is from RNAcentral. Lineage: Bacteria; Pseudomonadati; Candidatus Cloacimonadota.
GGGCGAGUAGUUCAGUUGGUUAGAGCGCAACCCUGAUAAGGUUGAUGUCAGAGGUUCAAAUCCUCUUUCGCCCACCA